Molecule: ribosomal RNA, 296 nt
Filed under: uncultured bacterium
Lineage: Bacteria
Description: partial 16S ribosomal RNA
Rfam family: Bacterial small subunit ribosomal RNA
Source: RNAcentral
UUAUACCUACGGGGGGCAGCAGUGGGGAAUAUUGCGCAAUGGGCGAAAGCCUGACCCAGCAACGCCGCGUGAAGGAAGAAGGCUUUCGGGUUGUAAACUUCUUUUAUGAGGGACGAAACAAAUGACGGUACCUCAUGAGUAAGCCACGGCUAACUACGUGCCAGCAGCCGCGGUAAUACGUAGGUGGCAAGCGUUAUCCGGAUUUACUGGGUGUAAAGGGCGUGUAGGCGGGACUGCAAGUCAGAUGUGAAAAUUAUGGGCUCAACCCAUAACCUGCAUUUGAAACUGUAGUUCUU